GAUGAAGAACGUAGCGAAAUGCGAUAAUUAAUGUGAAUUGCAGAAUUCCGUGAAUCAUCGAGUCUUUGAACGCACAUUGCGCCUCAUGGCAUUCCGUGAGGCAUGCCCAUCUCAGCGUUAGAAAAUAUUCUCAAAUUUUAGUUUUGUGCUAAAAUUUGGAUCAUGUCAAGGAAGCUAUUACUAUUAUUGUGAUCGCUCUUUGGAAAUUGAUAGGUCUUUGAGUUGCUACUCAUAGAACGUGAUGAAUCUUUCUUCGUUCUAUUGUUAUUCACUCUGGUAGUCCUAAAACUUGUAUGCCUGUGGCAUAUCUUGUAAUUUGACCUGAGAUUGGGUAGGGAUACCCGCUGAACUUAAGCAUAUCAAUAAGCGGAGGA
Molecule: unclassified non-coding RNA, 374 nt
Filed under: soil metagenome
Description: partial contains internal transcribed spacer 2 and large subunit ribosomal RNA
Rfam family: 5.8S ribosomal RNA (bases 1-120)
Source: RNAcentral